Molecule: non-coding RNA, 184 nt
Organism: Caenorhabditis elegans
Lineage: Eukaryota; Metazoa; Nematoda; Chromadorea; Rhabditida; Rhabditidae
Source: Ensembl
CGUUUUUCGCAACUUCUUCGUCUUCUUAUUCUCCCGCGCGUUGUCACAACAUAUUUCGAAUGCAAAUAUUUGUGUUACGGUGGGUGGGGCCACGCCCGACAAGGGCCCCCCUUCUCGCGACCGUACUGUAACUGACACUAUGCAUAGAUGUCAAACAAAUUUACGCCCCUGGUAGGAAAGACUU